RNAcentral lists this ribosomal RNA (918 nucleotides) under Triticum aestivum (bread wheat). Its description in RNAcentral is "partial small subunit ribosomal RNA". The record is from RNAcentral. Lineage: Eukaryota; Viridiplantae; Streptophyta; Magnoliopsida; Poales; Poaceae.
AUGAACGAUACCCUAUGUGCUCCCUUCUCGGAGGAGGAGGUAUCAAAUGCCCUAUUUCAAAUGGGUUCGCUUAAAGCACCAGGGACGGACGGCCUUCCAGCGAGGUUCUUUCAACGAAACUGGGUCGUGCUGAAAUCUAAAAUCAUAGCUGUUGUGCUGGAGUUCUUUAAGUCAGGAGAGAUGCCGGACGGGGUGAACGACACGGCUAUCGUUCUUAUCCUGAAAAUUCCUUUCCCAAAGGAACUCAAGGAUUUUAGACCGAUAAGCUUGUGUAACGUCAUCUACAAGAUUGUGUCAAAAUGCCUCGUGAACAGACUAAGGUCAUUGCUCGCGGAGCUCAUCUCAGAGAAUCAGAGUGCCUUCGUUCCAGGGAGGCUUAUCACUGACAAUUCGAUUAUUGCUUUUGAGUGCCUUCACCACAUACAGUCACUGAAACAAAACAGACCGACGACAUGUGCUUACAAGCUGGACUUGUCGAAGGCAUAUGACCGUGUCGACUGGGACUUUUUGGAGAAGGCACUUGGUAGAUGGGGCUUCGCCCAACAGUGGAUUGCAUGGAUUAUGGUGUGUGUGAAAUCAGUGAAAUAUUCGGUCAAAUUCAAUGGACAAUUGCUUGAGAGUUUCAUUCCCUCUAGAGGAUUAAGGCAAGGUGAUCCUUUAUCGCCAUUCUUAUUUCUUUUUGUUGCUGAUGCCCUUUCUGCUCUGUUCUCUAAAUCAGUUGAGGAAGGCUCGCUAAAGGGGGUGGCUAUAUGUUGUGGUGCACCGGUUAUCUCCCACCUGUUAUUUGCAGAUGAUACUAUGUUGCUUUUUGAGGCGUCUGGCGAGCAAGCAAGCAUUGUUAAGGGGUUGUUGAACACUUAUAGUUCUGCGACGGGUCAACUUAUUAACCCAGAGAAGUGUUCCAUCCUUUUUUUCUGA